GCUGGGGUCCAACCCCAGCAGGUCCAGGGGUCCCCAAAGGUGUGGACAGAGUCGGCGAAGAAGGAAUGACAUGGAGACAGCGUUCAGUUGAUCAGCAGCCUAGCCAGGAUCUCUAGCCAAGAUCUCCAGCCAGGUUCUAUGUCCAUGUUCUCUUGCUAGGUUCUCCAGCCAGGAUCUCCAGCGAGGUUCUGUAGCCAUGUUCUCUCGCUAGGUUCUCCAGCCAGGUUCGGUCGCCAGGUUCUGUAGCCGGGUUCUUCAGCCAGGUUCUGUCUAGGUUCUCCAACCAAGUUCUGUAGCCAGGUUCUGUCCAGGAUCUUUUGCCAUGUUCUCUCCAGCGAAGUUCUUCUGUCUCUAGGUUCUG
Molecule: long non-coding RNA, 361 nt
Organism: Myotis daubentonii (Daubenton's bat)
Lineage: Eukaryota; Metazoa; Chordata; Mammalia; Chiroptera; Vespertilionidae
Source: RefSeq, a predicted model, not a curated record